CUGUAAGCCUGCGAAGGUGUACUGUGAGGUAUGCUGGAGGUAUCAGAAGUGCGAAUGCUGACAUAAGUAACGAUAAAGCGGGUGAAAAGCCCGCUCGCCGGAAGACCAAGGGUUCCUGUCCAACGUUAAUCGGGGCAGGGUGAGUCGACCCCUAAGGCGAGGCCGAAAGGCGUAGUCGAUGGGAAACAGGUUAAUAUUCCUGUACUUGGUGUUACUGCGAAGGGGGGACGGAGAAGGCUAUGUUGGCCGGGCGACGGUUGUCCCGGUUUAAGCGUGUAGGCUGGUUUUCCAGGCAAAUCCGGAAAAUCAAGGCUGAGGCGUGAUGACGAGGCACUACGGUGCUGAAGCAACAAAUGCCCUGCUUCCAGGAAAAGCCUCUAAGCAUCAGGUAACAUCAAAUCGUACCCCAAACCGACACAGGUGGUCAGGUAGAGAAUACCAAGGCGCUUGAGAGAACUCGGGUGAAGGAACUAGGCAAAAUGGUGCCGUAACU
This 493-nucleotide ribosomal RNA is filed under the name Escherichia coli. RNAcentral describes it as "partial 23S ribosomal RNA". It matches the Rfam family "Bacterial large subunit ribosomal RNA", at positions 1241 to 1735 of the family's 2925-position model. The record is from RNAcentral. Lineage: Bacteria; Pseudomonadati; Pseudomonadota; Gammaproteobacteria; Enterobacterales; Enterobacteriaceae.